Long non-coding RNA from Equus quagga, 432 nucleotides. RefSeq lists it as uncharacterized. Lineage: Eukaryota; Metazoa; Chordata; Mammalia; Perissodactyla; Equidae. The record is from RefSeq and is a predicted model, not a curated record. The transcript has 3 exons.
GAGGGAAAAUAAAACUCCUUUUUCCCCCCUCUUUUUUUCUUCUGUUCUUGGUGCAGAACUCAGUCUGUCAUUUUCUCAACCCAAAUCAAACAACAGCUUGUGAGAGACGCUUGGGUGAGCGCUGGAAAUUGAGGCUUAAAGAGGUUAAAUAACCAUUCCGAGGCCGCAUGCAGCAACACCGAGGACUGGAAUAAGGUGGAACCAACUGGAGUUUUGCUGAUAAACACAACAGUAUGUGUGACUUCCUGGAUCGCUAGGCCCGUUGAAGAACUGCUCUGGAACAAGGUUGAAUCCUGGAUGUACUCCUAACUGAGCCCUGGGAUCUCAGAUCCGUGAACACUUAUGGGCCUUGAAUUCAGCUAAAGUUAGGGCUGAGACACUGACCCUGCAAGAUUUCAGUAACUUCUAAAGUUGUGGGAUUUCAGGAUAUGU